UACCGCAGCUCUUAUACGGAGGU
RNAcentral lists this non-coding RNA (23 nucleotides) under Cricetulus griseus (Chinese hamster). The record is from RNAcentral. Lineage: Eukaryota; Metazoa; Chordata; Mammalia; Rodentia; Cricetidae.